This is a non-coding RNA of Caenorhabditis elegans, 21 nucleotides long. NCBI's taxonomy places the organism in Eukaryota, Metazoa, Nematoda, Chromadorea, Rhabditida, Rhabditidae. The record is from Ensembl.
UAAGCAAAGAAGCAAAAGCAA